This is a long non-coding RNA of Ornithorhynchus anatinus (platypus), 690 nucleotides long. RefSeq lists it as uncharacterized. The record is from RefSeq and is a predicted model, not a curated record. Lineage: Eukaryota; Metazoa; Chordata; Mammalia; Monotremata; Ornithorhynchidae. The transcript has 3 exons.
GAAAGGAAGAGAGGACUAGUGUGGAAGAGAAAGAGCGGCGGACCAAGAAAGAAAAAGAGGAGAAAGGCAAGAGAGUCCAGCUGCUUAUGGUUGGCACUGAUUGUCUUCUGAUUAAUCCGCAGACUCAGGGACAGUAAAAGCUGGGAGGCAGCCGCAAGUUUGGUCAGUGGUCUUCAGUUCCUUCGCUCCUUUCCCCUCCUGAGGAAAACUUCAACCCGCUCUGCCUGCCUCAGAUCCGGGUGACGAAUCCAGUGGCUCAGGAUGAAGUUAGCUCAAGAGAACCCGGUCUGGCUGGGACGUUUAUAAACGACGCGCAGAACAGCGACGUGAGAAAAUGGAUCACGCUGUAAUCUGGGGAGAAUGGAUGAUUUACCGGCGCUUCGAACGGUGCUUCGCACGUAAUAAGCGCUGGACAAAUGCUAUCGUUAUUAUUAUGAUUUACAAGAAUAGUUUUCAUAUUUUCUUCAGGGAAAAACUGAAGAAAAACUCAGGCGAUUAAUAAUUGCCAGUCAAAAGACGGGCUUCCAUGUCAUUAGUUUCUCGAAUCUUCUAGAUGAAGCCUGUCCUGAGUCCCCUUCAAGUUUCCGGAGAUGAUGAGAGAUGUAGUUUCUCCUCGGUACCUCUUCAGAUCGCCUGGACGAAGUGUCACGGAAGGGGCAUAAGGGAAGCGUAAAGUUGCUAUUGGAUUAA